CAGACGCUUUUCUUUUUGUCUCCAUAAUGUCUCCAUAAUGCUCCAAUGUUAUCUGCUCCAGAAACACACUGUGCAGAAGCUCUGAUGGUGACACAGAAAAGUCAAAGUGGAGAUACUUCUGUCCACCUUUGAUUAGACUCAUUAUAAAAAGGAAAACAAAGUUUGAACACAGUCAUGUUUCCAGUUCACUGACUUACAUUUAUUCCAUGGACACUCACUCUAACCUGAACCACAGCUACAACCCAACAUUGUUGAGGCCUCAUCUCCUCCUUUCCUGACUGUAGAGGUUAAAUAUGCAACAACCAACAAAUAAAAGAAUUUGGUUCAUUUCAAAGAAAUUCACACGGUGACCAAGUAAAGUAACCGUAGUAAAGGAGACAACAUCCCGUUGAUGGUGGGAUUAUUUGAAAGAUUUGCUUUAGUCACGUCACCAAAUGCAGUUGAACCACCCGUGGAUCCAUGUUUGACCAUUCUACCACUCUGAGCUCUGCUUUUUAAUCAUUUUAUUAUCAUCAUUCAUUUAUUCAUUCUUUGGAGGGGGGCUAUUUCCUAAUGCCGCCCUAAUAAGCUGAUAUUUAAAGGAGAGAGUGAGAAACUUGAUCAUCCAUCCUCAUAAUACAUGUUUAUCAGUAUCUGCUGUGACCAUACUGCAGUAAUAACUACAAGUCUACAUUUCUGUGACUGUUGAUCAAUCACAGCAGGAAUCUGAGCUCAUCUCUGCACACAGAGCAGCUUCAGCUCUGGGAUAAACUGCUCGCUUCACGUCCUUCUCAGCUCACAGACACUCAUCCUGAUAUUUUCCUUUAACAUUUGAUGGUAUAAUUCAUCUGAGUUUACACUUUAUCUGCAUGAAUACAGAAAAACAGACCCAAACACCAGAAACCAUCAGUUUCACCAUGUAGAAUAUAUUGUUGUUUCCUUGCUUUUAAUUCAGAGAAAAACUCUGAUUUGGAUUUUCUCUGUUCUCUUUGCUGCUGAUUCUCUAUCUCAUCUUCGCUCUCAAACAUUUAAACAGCAGCGAGUCUGCAGCUGAGGGAACACAAACUCAAACUGUCGGAACAGGUUUGAUUGUAUCUUGUGUUUAUUAAUUUGGUGAUUCAUCAAAUGUAU
Long non-coding RNA from Astatotilapia calliptera (eastern happy), 1110 nucleotides. The record is from Ensembl. Lineage: Eukaryota; Metazoa; Chordata; Actinopteri; Cichliformes; Cichlidae.